Molecule: non-coding RNA, 535 nt
Organism: Paramuricea clavata
Lineage: Eukaryota; Metazoa; Cnidaria; Anthozoa; Malacalcyonacea; Plexauridae
Source: the annotation of a GenBank genome assembly
CCUGGGUUAAGGUUACAGGACACCCUUUUUGGCGUUUUGCGGAAAAUCGCUACUGCGCGCUCAAUAUCAGUCCGAUUUUCAUCAAAUUUUCACCAAAUGUUCUCCAGUGCAUGCAAAAUAUGGUAAAGUUGUAAAAUUAACAAACAAUAAAAUAAUGUAAGCAUUAUUCAGGAAAAUCUUAAAUCGCGGUACCGUUACGCUUUUGAGUUGUGCUCCUGCUGGUUUUAAGUUAUAUUUAUGAAAAUAUAAUUUUUAUACAGUAAAAUAGUUGUUCUAAAAAAUUGUGUUCGGAAAUUUUUGUUUAUUUCGUCAUUCCGCUGAUAUGGCGAUUUCUUUGACGACUGCAAUAUAUUUCUGAAUUGUUUGAGUGAAUUGCUCUUUAUUAUUAAAAUAUCCAAAAUUUAAAAAAAGCCGAACACAAUUUUGAAACUGACGUAUUUAGCUAUGUCCUGUGAAAAUUUGAGAAAAAUUGGUUAAAACCCGCAGGAGCACAACUCGUUUGAAAAUCAGUAAUUACCGUAAAAUUUUUCGGGAG